RNAcentral lists this unclassified non-coding RNA (493 nucleotides) under Hevea brasiliensis (rubber tree). Lineage: Eukaryota; Viridiplantae; Streptophyta; Magnoliopsida; Malpighiales; Euphorbiaceae. The record is from RNAcentral.
UCUCGCCUCUCGCCUAAGGCAAUAAAAUGCUCUAUCGCCUCGCCUUUCGCCUUGAUAACACUGUUCCUCUAUAAUUUAGUCCAAUAAGAGUCCCUUUGCAUCACCUAUGUUGUUAAUGAAAAAAAGAAGGAUGGCUCAUGGAGAAUUUGCAUAGAUUAUAGGAAGCUCAAUGACCUAACUGUUAAGGAUAAGUUUCCUAUUCCCAUCAUUGAUGAUUUGUUGGAUAAUUUGCAUGGAACAAAGUAUUUUUCUAAGAUUGAUCUUAGAGCAGGGUACCAUCAAAUACGAAUAGAACCUAUUGACACUCACAAGAUAGCAUUUAGAACUCACUAAUGAAUCAUAUAUUCCAGCCUAUUUGUGAAGAAUUGUGCUUGUAUUUUUUUAUGACAUUUUAAUCUACAGUAGCACUAUGGAGGAAUUUGCUCAUUUGGAAGAAGUCUUUGUUAAGAUCAGAUCUGAAUUAAUCUCUGAAAUAGAGAUUAAAGCAGAAUCU